This 851-nucleotide ribosomal RNA is filed under the name uncultured bacterium. RNAcentral's name for it is "bacterial SSU rRNA". It matches the Rfam family "Bacterial small subunit ribosomal RNA", at positions 10 to 861 of the family's 1533-position model. The record is from RNAcentral.
AGUUUGAUCCUGGCUCCGACGAACGCUGGCGGCGUGCUUAACACAUGCAAGUCGAACGAGAAUCUGUGGAUCGAGGAUUCGUCCAAGUGAAGCAGAGGGCAGUGGCGGACGGGUGAGUAACGCGUGAGGAACCUGCCUUUCAGAGGGGGACAACAGUUGGAAACGACUGCUAAUACCGCGUGAUACAUUUGGGUGGCAUCAUCUGAAUGUCAAAGAUUUAUCGCUGAAAGAUGGCCUCGCGUCUGAUUAGCUGGUUGGUGAGGUAACGGCCCACCAAGGCGACGAUCAGUAGCCGGACUGAGAGGUUGACCGGCCACAUUGGGACUGAGAUACGGCCCAGACUCCUACGGGAGGCAGCAGUGGGGAAUAUUGGGCAAUGGGCGCAAGCCUGACCCAGCAACGCCGCGUGAAGGAAGAAGGCUUUCGGGUUGUAAACUUCUUUUAAGAGGGAAGAGCAGAAGACUGUACCUCUAGAAUAAGCCACGGCUAACUACGUGCCAGCAGCCGCGGUAAUACGUAGGUGGCAAGCGUUGUCCGGAUUUACUGGGUGUAAAGGGCGUGCAGCCGGGAAUGCAAGUCAGAUGUGAAAUCCAUGGGCUUAACCCAUGAACUGCAUUUGAAACUGUAUUUCUUGAGUACUGGAGAGGCAAUCGGAAUUCCUAGUGUAGCGGUGAAAUGCGUAGAUAUUAGGAGGAACACCAGUGGCGAAGGCGGAUUGCUGGACAGCAACUGACGGUGAGGCGCGAAAGUGUGGGGAGCAAACAGGAUUAGAUACCCUGGUAGUCCACACUGUAAACGAUGAAUACUAGGUGUGCGGGGACUGACCCCCUGCGUGCCGCAGUUAACACAAU